UUUAUGUCUAAUUCUGUAAUCAAGUCGUUUAAGUGAAGUGAAACUUGGGGUACACAACACAAAUCAGAAUUCUGAAAGGGGUACAGUAGUCUGGAAAGGUUGAGAACCACUGUCAUAGGGGACUGAAACGUGAGUAGAUUUUCUAAACAUUGUAUGUUUUAGUAACACCUAUUUAACUCAAACUCUUUUCAUUUGGAGAAAGGAAGGUUACUUACUUUACAGUACCUGGAAUUCUUUGAGAUGUGUGAUCCCCAUGGGUAUACCACUGUGGGUGUUUAUGGGCUUCAUGCACUGAGACUGUCCAUGCCUUUGUCACCUCAUGCUCUGACCCAAGGGCAUAAGGGAUGGCAUAGCCUGACCGCCUCUCCAAUUCCUUCUCUACUGUGAAUCACCUGAGGAAAGGCUCUGAAGCCAAGGAGAAGGAGGAGGGUAGGCAGCAAAAUACCCAUAGGGACCAUACAUCUCAGAGAACUCCAGUUAUUGCAAGGUAAGUAACCUUCCUUUCUUCUUUGAGUGGUGGUCCUGAUGGGGUAUUCCACUGAGGAUGACUCACAAUCAGUAUUCAUAGAGGAGGAGGGUGCAAGGAACCAUGCUGCGCUACAGACUGCAGGACCCGUAUACCACGCUGAAGGAUGUGCUUGUACCAGACUCUAAUAUCCAGGAGGGGAACACCCUGAAGAGAAGCCCCUGAGGUAGCCUUAGCUCUAGCCAAGUAGAAAACUAAGGCACAGCAGACAUACAGAGAAUGGAGCUUCCUGUCUUCUUUGGUGCUGUGAGGGUUUUGGGUAGAAAACAGGCAAGUAUAUGACUUGAGUCAAGAGGAGUUCAGAGGAAACGCUGGGAAUGAACUUGGGGUGUAACCUCAAAGAAACCUUAUCCUUAUGAAAGACCUUGUCUGGAGGGUCUGCCAUAAGGGCGCCGAGCUCAUCGAGUCUUGUGGAGGUGAUUGUAGUCAGGAAGGCCACCUUCAGAGACAGAUAAAGGAGCAGGAAGCCAAAGAUUCAAAAGGAGGAUUCGUGAGUGCUGACAACACCAGAUUGAGGUCCCAGGUUCGUGCCAGUUCUGGUACCAGAGGCAGUGUUCUGGUAAGUCCUUUUCAAAAACCUUGAAGUCAGAGAGUGGGUGAAGACUGAAUAGAUCACCACCACAGUAUGGAAAGCGUUGAUUGCUGUGAAAUGCACACAGUAAGCUUAGAGAUAGGCCUCAGUUCUUUAGGGAAAGGAGGUAGUCCAAAAUGGUAGGGCUCCCAGUGCUUUGGAGGUAUUGGGCGACGUUGGCACCAGAUAGAAAAUAUUUCCAUUUAACGGCGUAACAUUUCUCAUGGAGAUCUUCCUGAUGUUAUUAGAAGAUGUGUUGUACCCCCCUGUGAACAUGACCUUUCUAAGCUUGUUGUCUAUCCAAAUACAAGGCUUAUAGAUGGAGGAAUGCUGGGUUGGAAUGGUUGGUCUUGCCUUUGUCCUGAGUCAGCAGGUUUGGAAACUGCUGGAGUCAUAGGCACAGACAUGCUGCUGCAUGAAGGAUGCUGGUGAACCAAAACUGCCUCAGGCAGCAGGGUGCCAUCAGAAUUACCAGUGCUUUGUCCUGCUUUAUUUUUCUCAGUAUUCAAGAUAAGAGGGAUGGGUGGGUAUACGUUAGUGGCUCUGAACAGUGAAUUAGGACCUAAGCUGCUUGGGAGUAGUAGGCUUGGCAUUUUUUCUUCUCUUGGGACAUGAAGAGGUUCCACGCUGGAAAUCCCCACUGUCGAAAGAUGUUUUGUACCACCCAGUCGUGCAGUCCCCACUUGUGUUCACUGUUGAAAUGCCUGCCGAGACUGUUCGCCAACAUGUUUGUUACUCCCGGGAGGUGCACUACCAAGAUGAUGAUCUGGUGUUGGAUGCACCAGAUUCAGAAUUUGGUCACCUCUGUUCACAGAGGGGUGGACCUCACUCCUUCCUGUUUGUUGACAUAGUAUAUUAUGGUUAUAAUGUCUGACAUGACCUGAACAUGCAGGGCACAGAUGAAAGGAACCUUUUGCAGGCUUCAUGUACUGCUCUCAGUUCAAGGAGUUUGAUGCGAGGGUGGUUAUCCUGAAUCUUGAACAGCGUAUGAAGAUGUUCAGUUGUCUAAGGAGCAGGAUGGGUCUCCAGCCUCCCUUCUGUUUGGGAACGAAGAAGCAUCUCCAGUGAAAACCCGUCCCCCUGUGUCAAGGAGGCAGGGUUCGACAGUUGCUAGCUGGAUCAGGGAGUCUACCUUCUGUCUGAAGAUCCUCUUGUGAGAGGGAUCCGUGAAGAAGGAUGGGGAAGGGGGUUUUGUGAAAGGGAUGGAAGGAAGUUCUAUUGUGUAGCUGCUGGAGAUGAUCUUUAGGACCCAUCUGUCUGACACAAUAUGAUGCAGUACUGGAAAGAAACUGGCUAGGUGGCCAC
Long non-coding RNA from Chelonia mydas (Green sea turtle), 2402 nucleotides. RefSeq lists it as uncharacterized. The transcript is spliced from 2 exons. The record is from RefSeq and is a predicted model, not a curated record. Lineage: Eukaryota; Metazoa; Chordata; Testudines; Cheloniidae.